The sequence is a transfer RNA, 67 nucleotides long. It matches the Rfam family "tRNA", at positions 5 to 66 of the family's 71-position model. Rfam says of the family: Transfer RNA (tRNA) molecules are approximately 80 nucleotides in length. Their secondary structure includes four short double-helical elements and three loops (D, anti-codon, and T loops).
CGGUAGUUCAGUUGGUUAGAAUGCCUGCCUGUCACGCAGGAGGUCGCGGGUUCGAGUCCCGUCCGGA